RNAcentral lists this long non-coding RNA (16916 nucleotides) under Vigna radiata. Its description in RNAcentral is "long non-coding RNA (VRAD_LNC002415)". The record is from RNAcentral. Lineage: Eukaryota; Viridiplantae; Streptophyta; Magnoliopsida; Fabales; Fabaceae.
UUUAAGCAAGCACGAGCAGAAGCAGCUGCGAAGCUCGCCGCAAAGGAUCUGGAGGAUGUUAACAGAAUGAGGGACAACAAUGCCACCACAUUCAAAGAGCAGCAGCACUACGGCGAGAACAGACCCGGUGUGAUAGGGUCCAUGUUCAGAGCCGCUAAGGAAGCGGUGGUUGGGAAGCCUCGAGAUGCGGUUGAGACCUCGCCAGGGGUUUAUGAUUCCAACAGAGAGAGGAUAACGAAGGAGCAAGGUGGGUCGAAGAUGGGGGAAUAUGCAGAUUAUGCGACCCAGAAGGCGAAGGAAACGAAGGAUGCAACGGUGCAGAAGGCUGGGGAGUACACGGACUUUGCGACUCAGAAAGCAAAAGAAAGCAAGGACUAUGCGGUGGAUAAGGCAAAGGAAGCUAAAGAUGCUACGGUGCAGAAAGCUUCAGAGUACAAGGAUUAUACUGCUGAGAAGGCUAAGGAAGGGAAGGACAGUGCAACGGGGAAGCUUGGGGAGUUGAAGGACUCUGCUGCUGAUGCUGCUAAAAGAGCUAUGGGAUACUUCACAGGCACCAGAGACGAAACAAAGGUUAACUUCAACUUGCAAGACUUUUUCUGUUGAGUUAUUGAUUUGGUUCCUAUUUAUUUAUUGUUUCUUCCUUUUCCUUGAACAGGUAGGUGGAACGGCGGAGGAUACCAGGCGAAGAACCCAAGAGGUGAGGGUGCAGGAUAAGGACUAUGGAACGGGGCAUGGAGGAGAGAAGGUGGUUAUAAAAAUGGAAGAGUCUCGCCCGGGAGCGGUGGCGGAUGCUAUGAAAGCGGCGGAGAGGGCCUUGGGCGGCGAGAUGGAGGAAGAAGGUAUCCUUCGUGUGGAGCGUCGUAGGGAGAAAAUGUGAACACGUGUGUGUGUGUGUUAUGGAUGAAGUAUAAUAGUAUUAGCAAUAAUAAUGUGCUUUGUAAUAAAAGAUAUUUGUAGUUGUUGUGGUGAAGCAUCCCUCUAGCUUUCAUUCCUAUAGUACAUAUACAUACAUUUAAAUAAAAAGUUUGGAUCACUUUUCAUUUUAAUAAUGUGUGUGUUGUAACUAUAUAUACAUCCUUGAAAAUUAAAAACUUAUUUAAUAACUUCUACUUUUAUUUUCAUUUCUUUUUUUCCCCUCUCCUCACCCACUCUUACUCUUAGACUGUGUUUACUUGGGGUGAUCGGAGGUGAUUGGGGGAGAAUGAUUGAGUGAAUUUGAGGAUAAUAUGUAUUUACUUGGGGUGAUCGGAGGUGAUUGGGGGAGAAUGAUUGAGUGAAUUUGAGGAUAAUAUUUUUUGUUGUUUAUUUGAGUAAAUUUGGAGGUGAUUGGGGGGAGUGAUUGAGUGAAUUUGAGGAUAAUAUUUUUUGUUGUUUAUUUGAGUAAAUUUGGAGGUAAACGAAAGUAGAUUUUGAAGUAAAUUUUUUUAAUUUGUCAUAUAAACUAAAUUUUACACCAAUUCUCACAAAAUUUAUUUUAAAAUUCACUCUUGUUUAUCUCCAAAUUCACUCAAAUAAACAGCAAAAAAAAUUAUUCUCAAAUCCAAUCACUCUCCCCACUCCUGUCAGCCUCAAGUGAACACACCCUUAGUGAAUACCAUCUCAACUUUCAUUAUCAUUACAUUCACUCGAAUUUUAAUUUAAAGAUUUUCUUACGGAGAAAAAUAAGGAAAAAAGUUAUAUUCAUCUUUUAAGUAUGUGAAUCAAAUUUGAUUUUUUUUUUUGAAAAAAAAUAUUAAGAUUUCCAACGUCAAUCGGUUUAACAUUAUUCCACUUCAAAUAUACACACUUAACAACUAUUUCUAUUUAGAUUUAUUACAACUAUUUAAAAACUAUAUUUUACUUACGUAUAUAUAAUAAAAAUUCAAAUUUAUGCAUUUUUAUGAAUAUUUUAAUAUUUAUUAUUAUUAUAUUAAUAAAAGGUUUGAAUGAUUGCCUUUUGGAAAUGAUGUGUGAUAUAACUAUUCUUAACAUUCAUUCCACUUUGGACAAUAUUUAAUUUCUUUGUAUUAUUUUUUUAUAACAAAUUAUGAAUUAUAGAUAAUUUUUAUUUAUUUGGUUAGUUUUGAAAGAAUCAAAUAAAACAGUAAAAGAAAAAAAAAAGAUAUAAAAAGAGAUUUUAAAAAAACAUUUAAAUUUGAAAGGUAAAUGUGGGAAAAAAAAAUCUCCUAUGAUACUGAUAUGAAAGCAAGUGAACUACAAACAAAUUUAUUCUACUUUUAAUUUAUUCUAUGUGAUUCAGUUCUAUAUCAUAUUUUAUAUUUACAGAUCAAGGAGAUCUUUCUAGACUUCCAAAGAUUUUCAAAAUAAGAAUUGAAUAUAUUUUUUGAAUUUAAGAACUUAUAUUACUAAAUUUAAAUUUUAAGCAUGGUGAUUUAAUAUAUAAAUAAGAGUUAACUUUUAGUCUCUAAACUUCUUUAAAAAAAUAGUAGAUAUAUUAAACUGCAUUACAUUAAUUCAAAUGUUAAUAUUUCUUUCCUAACAGCCUAUCCAUAUUUCUCUCUUCUUUUUCCUACAAAAUAGAGCUUUUAGCUUUUAGGCUAACGAGUCAUACUCGCACAAACAGACUUACAUUAUAUUGAUUUAAGUGAUAUUAGAUUAAAUAUCUUUUAUAAAAAAUAAAUUAAACUUUCUUACCAAAAAAUAACUCACAUUAUCUUGAUUUAAGUGAUAUUAGAUUAAAAUAUCUGUUAUAAAAAAUAAAUUAAAUUUUACUACCAAAAAACUCAUUAAAAUUAACCAGCUAAAAUAUCUAACAAGAACUAUUCAUCAAAAUUAAUAUACUAUAGUAAAGGUUAGCCUUUUUAAUUUGGAUAAAUUCUUUAAAAGAAAAAUAGAGAAUAAUUAUUGUAGAGCUGAAUCUAAUCAAACUUAAGCCAAUCACAAUUGUCAGUGAGGAAUUGCACCCCGUCACUGUUUGGUUGGUGAAGCGGAACAUCAAUAGUUGAAGCGCAGUAUCACGUGCCUGAGGUUCACAUUAGGUGAACGUGAAUGAUAAAAGUAGUUAAAUAUUAUGGAUUGUAAAAUUAUAAUUUAUUAAAAUUUUAUAUACGAUAAACCUUUAUCGUAUAUAUAAUCCACGUCCUUUCAUAAAGAAGAGAAGAUGUUGAUGGUUAAACAUUCUUUUUGCUAUAAAUGAUCAGAAGUGCCAUGAUUAGAAAGUUUGGCAUUGCACUCAACAUACUAUUUUAUCUAUGUAACGAUUAUUUGUUCAAACAAAGCACGUACCAUGUAUGUUUUUGUGUAGUUUUGUUAAUCAAUACAGUUCCAUUAGUAGCAAUUAUUAACAUUUUUAAGAGACAAAAAUAGCAAAAGAGCAAUGAUGUCUGUCAUGUUUUCUGCAGUUGUGUAGUUUUGGUGGAGAACGCCCUAGGACGCAAGCCACAACGUGAUUAUCUAAUAUCUAUAGAUGUAUAUGCAUCUAUCUAUCUCCUUCAAGGUUGUUUAUCUUUUGGGUUACCAAAAUCUUGCGUUGGCCGCCAUCAAUGUCCACCAAACUCUUCCUUAUCUAUCUCCUAUCCUCUUUCUCUGCCGUCGCUCUUUUCUUUGCGCUGUUCCUCGCCGGAAUCUCCGACUUCAAACAUGAUGCGUCAUUGUCUCCUCCCUCUCUCAAUCAUGGAUCCGAAAACGACAAAGUUUGGCCUGUGUGUCACACCUUCAUCUCUUCUCUGUCACGCUAUCGUUGUGGGAAAAAAGACUAAUGCUUUCUUUGUUGGGGGUGCAGGAAUUGAAGCCGGGGUGGAGAGUUGCGUUGGCCACGGUUAUUGGGUUUCUUGGAUCAGCUUUUGGAACCGUUGGAGGGGUAGGUGGGGGAGGCAUUUUCGUUCCCAUGCUCACUCUUAUUGUGGGUUUUGAUACCAAGUCUGCUGCUGCUCUCUCUAAAUGUAAUAAAGCUCUCUCUUUUAUUCUUUCACGUUGUGACAUGUGAGAACGUCCACAGACUUAGGUUUUUUGGUUCUUGUUUUGUGACCGAGUGUGAUAUUGUUCACUUUUUUUCAGGUAUGAUAAUGGGGGCGUCAACAGCAUCUGUUUGGUAUAACCUGAGAGUGCCUCAUCCAACCAAAGAGGUGCCUAUAAUAGACUAUGAUCUGGGACUUAUUUUUCAGCCCAUGCUCAUGCUUGGUAUAACUGUUGGUGUAGCGCUCAGUGUUGUCUUCCCCUACUGGCUCAUCACUGUCCUUAUCAUUAUUCUCUUCAUUGGUCUCUCUCUCAUGUCAUUUAUUUUAGCAGAAAAGUUUACUUAUAAAACAAACCCUGCUUUGGAUGAAUCAGUUCUUCGUUGGUCUCUGCUGAUAAAUGGUGAAAAAUGUUCUUUUACCUUUUGACAGGUACCUCUUCAAGGUCUUUCUUUAAGGGAACUCAGAUGUGGAGGGAAGAGACUCUUCUAAAGGUAAAGUUUCAUCACUUGAGAUAGCGGUUCUUCAACGGAAUCAUUUAACAGAGGCAAACGUAAUGUUUGUGUUUGCUAAUUGCAGAAAGAAAUGGCCAGGCAAAAGGCAACUUUCGUUAAUUCUCACGGGGAACGUAAGUAAAGAUUAUAUACAUAUAUAUAUACUUUAAACCAUUUCUUUACUAAGAACAAAAAGCACUUUAUUUGGGAUUUACUAAUUCAACCAUUUUCAAAUUAAUCAGUACAUAAAAGUUAUAAAAUUUUGAAAUAAGAAAUAGUUUUUCUGUCAAGCGUGCCCUGCGAAUAUAGUUCUUAAAAUGAAGAUAUUUCAUUUUAUGCGCAGUUCUAGUUGAUACAGAAUAUGAGCAGUUGAUUCCUAAAGAAGAGAAGUCACCAAUGGUAUGCAAAGUCUCAGUUUUUCAUCGAGUCAUAGUAGGUGAUGAGGAGAAACCUGACUUUUUUUUUUUUGUUCUCUCCCUUGAACAACACCUCAGCAAAUUUUUUGUUUCAAUCUCAAGUGGAAAAGGAUUUUGGUACUAAUGGUCGUGUGGGUUUCUUUCCUACUACUUCAAGUCAUCAAGGCAAGUCCUCCUCUCUCCAAUUCACAUCACAAAUCUGUUCACUUAUUAUUUCUUUGUUAUAAGUCUAUUUAUUGUGGGUCUGCAGAAUACAGUAGAGGUCUGCAGUGAAUGGUAUUGGGUGCUUUUCAGCUUACAGGUACAAUGGGAGCAUCAAUUCCACUAGCACAACUUGUUACUUAACUUACUACUAUGCAGUGGGGUCAAAUCAAACGUAUUGACAUGCACCUUUCUUCUUUCUGUUUCAGUUUCCUAUUGCACUUUUGGUAUUUGGCUAUGAAGCAGCGAAGUUGUACAGGGAUUACAAAGAGAGAAUGAGCACAGGAAACCUGGAAUACAUUUGUGAGGCAUCAAUUGAAUGGACUGUUCUGCACAUUUUAUUUUGUGCGCUAUGUGGCAUUUUGGGAGGAACUGUGGGAGGCCUACUUGGUUCUGGAGGUGGAUUCAUUUUGGGCCCUCUGCUCAUCGAGAUUGGUGUCAUCCCCCAGGUAAGUUGCAUAUGCAAGAGACAGUUUGAUUGACAAUAAUGUUGAAGCAACUUAACUUCCAAAGACGUGUUCUUGUUCAAAUUACAGGUUGCUAGUGCAACAGCAACAUUUGUGAUGAUGUUUUCAUCAUCUUUGUCUGUGGUGGAAUUCUACCUUCUCAAGAGGUUUCCCAUUCCUUUUGGUAAUUUUCAUAAUAUUUUCAAGCUUACAUCUCUUUGCAAUCUGUCUUGCCUUUAAAUUGUCACUCCCUACCAUUUAAGAGUUUAAGUGACAGGUUCAUGUGGAAACAAACAGGCAAAGAUGGCUACAUAUUGUGUUCCACCAUAUGCUAUGUUUACUAUCCAUUUUUCACUUGGCUUCCUUUUCAAAAAGGCUUCUUUUUCACUAGGGCCUUAGAGCUUGAACACAUACUAAAAUAACACCCUGUGGUGAAAAUGAUCUGAUCUGCUCCAUGCUUAUUGCAUUUGUCACAUUUCUUUUGUAGCGUUAUACCUCACUGCAGUGUCUGUCCUGGCUGGCUUUUGGGGACAGUAUUUUGUAAGGAAAUUGAUGGAAGUUCUCGAGAGAGCUUCAAUCAUUGUAUUCAUCCUCUCAGGGGUCAUUUUUGCUAGCGCUCUCACCAUGGGUAAAGCUAUUCAAAUCCAAAGACAUUUGCUGAUUUAUGUAUAUGGUUUAUGCGCCAAUGUUCAACUAUAUGUUUGAGCCAUUUCCUUUCAGGUGUGGUUGGUAUUGACAAGAGCAUUAAAAUGAUCCAAGACCGUGAGUUCAUGGGUUUUUUAGACUUCUGCAGCAGUCAGUGAUUCAUGUAGUGUACAGCAGGUGGCAAACGAAGACAACAUUGUGGAGUGUGUAAAAAAUGGUUGGAAAUUGAGGAUAGGACUAUAGAGAGUCAUGAAUGUUGGUCACCGACAAGGAGAUCCUUCCUCUUCAAGUAUCAAAUAAUGGUAGCUUGCCCUCCCUUGUGUGAAACAAUGAUUGUAGUUGAAUGUUAGCUACUGGCUAACACUCUUCUCAUUGCAGUGCAACAUUUGUUUGAUAUGUAUAUUUUUUAAGUUUCUGUUGAGCCUCCAUUCAGUUCUAGACUCAGUGUGAGAAAAGCUUGUGUAUUCAGGGUACGACAACAACUUUCAGGAAUGUUGGUCAAUGUUUGGUUGACCAUCGGAAGUUCCUUUCCUGUGUAAUAAAUAAGGCUAUUAAAGGGAAGAAAAUCAGUUUGUGGUUGAGUUGUUAUGCGACUGACUGAUGGCAAAACAUGAAGGAUUUUUUAUUUCUUUUGCAUCGGAUCUUCACAUGUCCAUUGGAUUGUUUAAGGUUGAAAGGUUUGCUUCUGAGCGAGUAGUUCAAAGAAUGUCUCUGUACUUGCUUGUAUAAAAAAGUUAUUAUUUGAUCGCUGUAAAUCAAUUGAAUACAAUUUAUCGCAAAACAACUAUUAUCUUUCUAGCGUUUGGUAUGCCCAUCUGGUCAACUUCGAAACACCAAUCAUCAACUCAAUUAUCUAACUCCAAAAUUAAUGAUUUUUUGGAUUGAGUUUAUUUGGACUGGAGUUCCUAUAGACCGAUUACUUUUGGUUGACUAUUCUAAGUUGAGUUAUUCUAGAUCAACCAUUUUUAGUCUAGUUUAUUUGGUCAACCAUUUUUGGCCACCUACUCUAGAAAGUCCCUUUAGUUCAACUAGAUCAACUUUUUGAAUAUAUCACUUGUGAUUGACCAUCUUAACUAAAUAAUAUGGUCGACAAGUUAUAAAAUGGUCAGAUUAACGAUGAUAAUGACAAAUCCAUAUGUUACUACCAACUAAAGUAUGAUUGAACUGUGAUUAGGUUGAGAAAAAAAAAAACUCAUAACAACUAAUAUAAAUAAAGCUUUAAGGUAUGACUUUCAUAUAUAUAUAUAUAUAUAUAUAUAUAUAUAUAUAUAUAUAUAUAUAUAUAUAUAUAUAUAUAUAUCACUAUAUUAAUACUAUGCCAAUCGAUCAUUUAUUGAAUUUAGAUGGAGAUGCCUUUUACAAAUACUUUCUGAUAGAAUUAAAAGAUUCAAUCCAACAUUCAAACAACACAAACAAACAAACUAUACUUAAUGUUAGAAACCGAUCACAAGUCUUAGACAUACAUCCCAAAACAAUAUUGAUUUGAGGUUAAGGUUUUGUUUAGUCCAUGAGUGUUUGAUUGUUUUGUAAUUUUCUUAAAAGGUAGGGUUAAAUUAAUUAUUUAGUCCAUUGAAUCAUAAUCCUAUUUUUUGAACAUUUGUAGUAGGACAUUUGGAGUCAAUAUUCUUUCUAAAAGAAAGUUUAAGCAUAUUUAAAAUCUUAAAAUGACCAAUCUAGUAAUGAAGUGUUUAGAUAGUUGGUAUAAGUUUUGAAGUUUCAAUUUUACUCUUAUUAUUAUAAAAAAAAAAUCAAGUGGGAAUGAUUUAAUUGUUGGAAUGUCAUGCUAUAUAACUAUGCAAAAAUAAAUAAAUUAAAAACAUCAUUAUAAUCCAUGCAUAAUAAUAAGUAGUACAAAGGUUAAUUUAGUAUUUGAAUUUACUAUUAUUUGAUUUAAUUUAUUUAGAUUUGAUUAAAUUGAUUCAGGUUAAACAUUCAUUAUAUCUAAAUCGAGAAACAUCUCUGUAAAUUAAAUUUUUAAACUUAUUUUAAUAAAGCUAAUUGAGGUUAAUUUUUAAGGUAAAAGUAAUUUGAUUUUAAUCUCAUUUCUAAUCACCAUAAUAUGCUUAAAUAAAGUUUUUUAACUAAUCAAAACACGAUACUUGAAAUCAUGUCCUUCUGCACCGCAUUUGUUCUGAAGAUUCUAAACCCUUUAGAACAAUAUCAAUUAUUCAGCCAUUCGGUGGUACAAUUUUGUAUGCUGGAACAGUUCAAUCAACACGCGUAAUUUUCUUUUAAUAUUGGAACUUUUGGUUUUAAAAAAAAAACAGAUUUCAAUCUAAUUAAAAUCCUCCCGCGAUAAGUUUUGCCUCUUUUAUUAAUUGUUUUAUUUCAUUUUAAAAAAUAUUUAUUUUUUAUUCAUUAUCUCCUUUCUUCUUCUUAUAUGGGCUCAUUGGCGAAGCCCAAAUGAUAAUUAGGAUUCUUAUGGACCAGGCUAUUUAAUUUGGGCCCAGGAGUGCAUUUAUAUGGUUUUAUAUUCGGAGUAUAGAGAGAUUCAGGGAGAAUUAGGUUUUAGGGUUUACACUGAGCAGCCACACCUGAAGCAGCAGCCAUGGUCCUCAAGUGAGUUUUCAUGAACACUUUCUUCUUUUUCCUUUAGCUCCUUUUGUAGGAUCUCAUAGCAGUUGCUUUCUUCUAUAAUUAUUGGGUUCGGAUGCAUACACUUAUCUGUACUCUAAAAUCGUUGUUUGUUGUAGUUUAUCUCGUUUUUAAUCUCGUUGUUCGUUGUUUGCGUCGAAAAUUAAUUCCACAAUAUGUAUAUCACCAUCAUUCUCUGCUUACUGACUUCAAUUCAAUUCCUCAACCGCGUCUCUGGAAUAGUUUUGCAUCUGCUUCUUUAAUCUGAGUUUCUGUUUGAAAUCUUCUGACUUUUAGAGACAUCGAUAGGUUUUGAAAACAUGGCGGAGAAUGUGUUUUUUUUUUUUUUAAGCUUCUGAAAAAGUUCAGGCGCAUAAGUCUUGUAGAUUGCUGAACAUAGUUUCAGCUAAACUAUUCAGUGUCUUACGCAUUAUGUUUGAUCUAUGGAUAAUUAUUUUUCAUAGAGGACAAUGAGUUAUUAAUGUUUUGUAUUCCUGUAUCAGAACUGAACUAUGCAGAUUCAGUGGUGCCAAGAUUUACCCAGGAAAAGGCAUUAGAUUUGUUCGCGGUGAUUCUCAGGUGACAUAUAAUGUCUUGUUGAAUUUAGGGUCCAUUUAUCACAUUAUUUAAAUCUUGUCCUGUUUGAUGCAACUUAAUGGUUAUUAGUUGUGACGGUUUUUGUUUGUCAUUAGUUAUGAUAUUGAAAAGAGGGUAUUUGUUUGUGGAAUCUACAGGUUUUCCUCUUUGCCAAUUCCAAAUGCAAGAGGUAUUUCCACAACCGCUUGAAGCCAUCAAAGCUUACCUGGACUGCAAUGUACAGGAAGCAACACAAGAAGGUAUUUUUUUAAUUUAAAUGUCUGAAAGAUGCAACAAUUAAUGUGUAUAGAGAUAAAAUGAGAAUUUCCAUUGGCAUUGAAGAACCGGUCUAGGAAUGAAAAUGUUGCUUUUUUACCGAAUUCGGUCGUCCGAUUUUGCCUAGUGCAUAGUUAUUCGAAUUUCACAUAAAAACAGAUUACGCAUUCCUCAGUUGCUGCAUGCAUUUGAUUCAAUUACUUGUGUGAAUGGGAUGUGUAGGACAUUGCUCAAGAAGCUGUGAAGAAGAGAAGACGUGCUGCCAAGAAGCCUUACUCUAGGUCCAUUGUCGGUGCCACUUUGGAAGUUAUCCAGAAGAAGAGAACUGAGAAGCCAGAAGUUAGAGACGCAGCUAGGGAAGCUGCCCUUCGGUGUGUUUUUGUUAAUUCCUGCCCCUUCAUUCCGUUAGAUAUGUGCAUAUUUAAUAACAUUUUUAGUCAUUCAUUUUCUGAUCAACUAUUAUAAUUACGCUUUACUCUCUGUUCACCACUCGCUUUAGAAAAGCUUAAUCCUCUUAAUAAUUUCCUGCCUUAUUUCUAGUGUUAUGAACUUUUUUUUUUUUUAUUUAUUUUACUCACUUGCUUGAAUCCGUAGUUCUGCUUCAGAGCCUUGCAUUUUAAGAGCUCUUUUAUUUUCAAACGUGGAUUACACAUGCAUCUGAAUCUUGGAUGUUGUGGUGCAGUGAAAUUAAGGAGAGGAUCAAGAAGACAAAGGAUGAGAAGAAGGCUAAGAAAGCCGAAGUUGCAGCUAAGUCACAAAAAGCAGGAGGUAAAGGAAAUGUUUCCAAGGGUGCUAUGCCUAAAGGUCCCAAACUCGGUGGUGGAGGCGGGAAGCGCUGAGCUUUUAAGUUUUGUUCCUAUUUUUGCUACAAUUAAAAUAGUGUUGUUUUCAAACUUCUGUACCGUACUGAUAUUUAAUUUGCAUGAUUAAUCUUUUAUUUUACUGUUUAAUUAAACCUGUUUUGGAGCUUCAGAAAGUACCUAGUUAUUGAAUGCAUUCCGCUUCCGCCUCCUUAUUCACGUUAUUCGUCGUUUAACCAGCUGUUUUUAUUGGUUCUUUUUUGGUUUCUGAAUUUGACCUAGAUGGGGGACGCCCAAUGACGUGGCUACUCAUGUUUUGCAAUUAUGUUCAUUAUAGAAUCUUCCAAUUGUUUUCACCAUGCACAGUGCCCGAUUUGCAUUGUAGGCUUGCAUUACCAUACCAAAUUUUGAUUCGAAGCAACUAUUUCUUAUCUAUUUAACUCCUAUUCAUUCAAUCUAGUAUAUGGUUAAAAGGUUGUUAGAAAACAACUAUCUUAAGACAUUACAAUCCAAUCCUGAUAUGGGUACAGAAAACUCCCAUUUCAACAUUGUUGUCGAUAAUUCCUACAUGUUUCUUGCCUUUCAUUUGAUUAGUUCGUAUAAGCUCUUUUACAUUUCUUUUAAUUUGUAAGAUUCUCCGAGUUAACUGAUUAAGAGUUCAUUUUUAAACUCGAGGUAACAAUUAGAACUCUUUUCAAUCAAGGUUUGACAUGAAAAUUGAAUAGAAUUCCACUUAAAUUUCCUUUUUGUUUUCUUGACGGGCUAUCCUGGUAUUGCGAUGGACUAUAAUUUUCAGAUUGUCUUUUCAUGGGUUAUGUUAUGGGUUUAUCUCUGCAUUAUCAUUCUCACAAUAGAUACUUUUAGGGAAUUACUUCCUACACCCAUCAUUUUUCUACCUGUACCCUAACACUUAAGGAAUACAAGAACAGUUCCGGAAAAUUUUUAACGGACAGCAAUCACCCACUUUUAUUACUGAAAAAAAAAAAUCGGUAGGAUUUUUUAUGGGUGGAUAAAGAACUGUGAUAGAGUGCAGGAAGCAACACCCGUAAUUUUAUAAUUGGAUCAAGUUAGGGAUCAAUUUUAAAGAUCAUAAAAUACUGAAUCAAGAAUUUUGUAUUUGUAAUAAUUAUAAAAUGAGUGGAAUAAAAGAUAAAAGAUUAACCUCCAUAUGGUGUACAUUCAUUAUAAAUCUCCGAAAUUUAUGUUUAAACCAAUAUGUCAGAUGUAACAUUCAAAUAUUACGGUUUUUGAAAUCUUCAUAACCAUCACCAAUCUUGUGAUAAUAUGAAGAAUCAAUUAUUAAUAUAUUUAUAAAUGGGGACCAAAUCUGAUUUAUUAAACAAGUUGAAAUAAUAAAUAGUUCUUUUUUUUUUUUUUGUUAAAGGUCUCAACUAAGUUUUCUCUCCUACCUCACAUGGAGUAAACAUUAAUUAGACUUCACUUAUUUAUCCUAUUCUAGUUCUUUAUUAGGUUAUUCGAGAUUCACUUUAAACAAACGUCCAAAUGCUGGUCUAUUUAUUAAUCAAUUUUAUUGAUAGAUCUAAAUACAUUACACUUUAUUAAUAAAUUUAACUUUUAAGAAAUGUUUUAUAUUUUUUUUAAAUAUAUAACUAGUUUUAAACUUGGGUAUAUACGAAUUGAUAUUUAUUUAUGUGUUUAUUGAAAGAGAUUUAGGGGUUGAAAAUAAUUAUUAUUAUUUUCAAGUUUAUACUUAAAUUUUAUAUAAAACCAAUGUGAAAAAUAAUUUAUAAGUUUAAAAAGUCAAUAUGUCUAUAUAAGACUUUGUAUAAAAUAUAAAGAAUAAAGCAUGUGUAAAAAUAUAAGAUAGAUUUUAAAAAUACAAAGGGUGCAUGUAAAAAUAUAUAGAAUAGACUCUCUACAAAUAUAAAAUAGUAUUUAAAGAGAUUGGUCUAAUGUGUAUUAUUAAAUUUAUCUAAUUAUUAUAUUGAUAAAUUCAUAUAAUAUGUUUUUAGACUUAUCUAAUUAAUAUUUAAACAUACUGAUCUAAUAUAUAUUAUUAAAUCCGUCUAAUUAGUAUAUAAACAUACUUUUCUAAUAUAUAUGAUAAGACUCGUCUAAUAAAAGAAUAAUAGUCAUCUAUUAUUCAUUAACUGACUCAUCUAAUAUAUAUAUAUAUAUAUAUAUAUAUAUAUAUAUAUAUAUAUAUAUAUAUAUAUAUAUAUUUAUUUAGACUGAUAUAGUUAAACUAAAUUAAAUAUAAUAAUGUAUACAAACUCACUUCAAUAUGUAACUUCAUUAUGUGCUGAGCAACUUUUCUUGAAUUGCAGAAUUCCAUUAUUUAAUAUUAAAUUCAAAACUGCUACUUGUAAUUGCAAUUUCUGACUCGAGGCUGAAGAGAAAAUGAAAAUGUUCUUUUUUACAUGCGCAAAAGUUGUGAACUAAUAAUAUUUAGGGAUAUUUUGUUAAUCCAAAAAGUUAAUUUCAAUAAACUUAGUUGUUUCCUAUAUAGAAAAAUGAUAGGAUAUUAAGAUCUUUGAUUAUUUAAUAUAUUUAAUUUUUCUUAAUUACUAAACAUAGUUUAAAGCACAUAAAAUAGUCAUUUAAUUUUAUUGUGUAAAAAAUUCAUUUAGAUCUGAAUUAAACUAAUUUAAAAAUUUAAAAUAAUGAAUUUAUAAAUAUUAAAUUUAUAAAUUUUUAUAUUACAUGUUUUUUUUUCUUUUAAUGUAUAACUUAAAUUCAUACUUAAUUUCUACCAAUUAUUUAUUUCAUUUUAAUAAUUAAUAUAUAUAUAUAUAUAUAUAUAUAUAUAUAUAUAUAUAUAAUAUUUAGUAAUUAUAACAAAAAUUAGUCUAAAUUUAAUUAGAAUUAAUAUAAUAUUAUCACAUUUUGACUAAAUUUCAUGUUUCUUUUAUUAUUGUGUUUAAAACUUUAUCACAAUAUACUACAUACUGUUUUAUUAAAUGUUGUAAGUUUAUUUUCUAAGAAAUUAACAAAAUUAAUAAUUAGAUUAUAGUCAAUAAAUAUAUUAAAUUAUUUAUUAUAUUUUAUUUAAUAAUAUAAUAAUAGAUAUGAUAUAAAAAUAUUAAUUUAAGUAUAAUAAAAUUAUAAAAUAUUAAACUAUCUAAUAAAAGAUAUAAUUAUAUAUAUAAAUAAAUGAUAUUGUUUAUAAAAAUUAAUUAAAGUCUCGUCUAAGCAUCAAACCUAUCUUAUAACUUUAUCUUUGUAACUCGAGAAAGAAUUUAAUCACUGAAGCUUUUUUUAGACAGGAAACCUCCUAAAAUAAAAAAUUUCAAGAAUGGAGUAAGAUUAAUUUAUAGACCAUGAAUCAAAUUAUCAUGCAGUGAUUGAUAGUCAAUAAAUUACUCUUCUUCCUUACCAAACUGAUCUGGUCUGAAGGGAGAAUCCGAAUUUGUCAAUCUGACUACAAAUGAAACCUCCAAUAUAAAAGUAAAAUAAAAAAUAAUGAUUUGGGACCACUAAACUACGUGGUAAGUAUGAUAGAUAAAGUGGUAGCCACAGAAGUAAGUAGGUAUAGUACGUAAUAAUAAGACUUUAUGCAAGUCAAUUAAUUACUUGAAACUAAACUACAAGUUAAAUUACGCAUGCCCUGCUGCUUAGGUGUUUCAGGAGUCAUAACUACAACCAGACAUGUCUGCACAGAUCCUAAUGUCAUUCAGACAAAGGUUAUAUCAUCUUCUACGUAACAACACUAAUACUAAUGUUCGUACUUUUGGAACAUUAACUAUGGAUAAAUUAUAUUAUGAUAGCUAAUAAGGCAUAACAGGCCACUGGCAGAAAGGCACUGAAACAGUGUUAUAAUCCUCCACGCUGAAAGAGCAAAAACCCUCAUCUGCGACCUGCUCAAUGUUACUCUUUCCCUGUGCCUUGUUCGAACCCCUUAGACCCUCUGAAGUGCUUUCUACCGUUUCUAUUCCUGAUAUUUCUUCAUAACCACCCAAUCUUUGCUUCCCAAAACCUUCCUCUUUACUUAGCAUUGCCUUCAACUUCACAACCUGAACCAACCAAAAGCAAAACAUUAUUUGAAGUUUCUUUUCAUACUUUUGCUGAACAAGACACGCUUCUUUUGUCUCAAAAACAUUGCAUGACGUAAAUAGUAAUGCAGUUAACAUAUAACAUAUACAGUUUCAUAUUUCUAUCACCCCGGGUGUCUUUCAUGGCACAAACCCUAAUCUUAGAGAUGAAAACCAAGGCAGGAGACAGAUAGCCACUAUAUUCAAACUUGAAAUGAAGAGAGAUGUUUGAAUGUAUGAUAUGUGGUUUGCAGUUACAUGAAGAGACACAAGGAUAUGUGUAAAAGCAACUAAACAUUUAUAAUGCGUGUGGGAGUGUGUGAAAGUGAAGUUGGAAGAUACCUCUUCUUGAAGCAUUUGCUUUUCGUUGGAGAUGACAUCAUAUUGGUGCUUGAGAACAUCGUAUAAGUGCUCAAGCUGCUUGGUUUUCCACCUCGUACGUCUAUUUUGGAACCAAACAGCGAUUUGACGAGGCUGAAGGCCUAGCUCCCUCGAAAGUUUCAUCUUCCUUUCAGGGUCUAACUUUAUCUCCUCCUGGAAGCUCCUCUCCAAUAACUCUAACUGGUUGCUUGUUAACCGCUUCUUCUUCUCUUUGCUUCCGUUGUACAUUGCCGGAAUAGAACCUUCUCCUGUCUCCAACAAUGUCGCCUGUUUCACUUCCACUCCUGAACAUAUGCAACACAAAGGGUUACGUUUGAAAAGCAGCAAGGUAUUUGAAGAUCUGGUGGUAAUACCUAUUUACGCUUCUUAGUAUUACAAAGUCGUGCCUCUAAUACACGAAGGAAAGCAUUUUAGCUAGGGUUAACCUGUUUUACGAUAAAAAACAUAAGUAUUCUAUCUUUGAAAAUAUUAAAAUAAACAUUUAGACUGUCGGAUUGAUCUUUUAGAGGUUGUCCUAGCUGAAUAUGCUUUUGCCAGUGUUUCCUAUGCUAAGUAUCUUCAGAAAAGCAAGAAAAUGGGACAAUUACUUGAAAUUCAAGUUACUAAUACAAAACUCAGAAAUAUUGAAAUGGGGUGGUUGCAAAAUAUAGGCUGAUUCUUGGAAGCUAUUAACUGAGUCACGCACAUAUAUAUAGAAGCUAACUGCAUUUGAAAAUCGUAAAGCAAAGGAAGUAGAAAAGAAAUGCAAGUUGAGAUUUUGUUGGUGUUUAACCUGGAUAAGGGUUGUUGUUGUUGUAGUUGUAGAAGAAGCUUAAGGUGUCUGGGUGAGGAAGAAAUGGUUUUGUGGUGUAAUGCCAAUCCAUAUCUUUUUAGAGAUCUCUCUUUCCAUUGAAUUCCAUCUGCCAAACGAUCUCUUAUAUGGGUUGAUGGGUUUACUGUAUAUGAGGAUUGACUUGGACCACGUAGGCCGAUAGAAAAAUGUGUGUAGGAAGUUUAGCUAAGGCAGUGAGGUGUUGCACGAUCGUUCUGACUUGUUAUUAUGAGAAGCAAAAGGCUGUUUAUUCCUUUCUCUUUUUGGGUGCCAGCUAAUUAAUCUUUAAUUUUUCAAUGCUUCUAGCUAAUAAAUUUCAUUAUGAAAAUAAGAUCCAGAGCAUUUAUUUCAUCACUAGCUCCUUUUAAAUAAAAGUUAACUUUAAGAGAGUUGGAGAGAAAAUAUAGAGUUGUAGCUAUCCGGGGCUAUAGAGAGUGUUACGCGCACCGAAGGAAGGUUAAUUAGAGUGACAUUUGUAAAUUGUAAGUGUGAGGUUGUUCUUCUUUCCUUUUGAGAGCAACAGUGUCUUGUGUUAAGGUGGAAACUAAGGGAAGGGACAACGCUUGUCAGAAAAAGGUGUGAAAAGGGGGAACCGUGUGUUGAGUUGGCCACUGAGUAGCCUUCAUGAUAUCACUCUUAUACCAUUUCUUUUACAAUAACUCUUGUAUGUUUGAAUGUCAUAAGAUAAAUCAUGUGAUGUAAUAUAUAAGUCCAAAUAAUAUUACUAAAAUUGAUUAUGAAAGCACGUGAUUACUCAAAAUCCGUAGAUUGAGUUUAUUUGUGUUUGCAAGGACCGGUUGAGUUUUCAAGAUAAUUUAAUUCUUUGUUUUCUUCUUCUCACAAGGUUGUCAAUGAUAUGUUAGAUAAUAAAUUUCUCUCAUUCCUUUAAUAUUGGACGAUGAUAAUUCAUGCACAAUAUUUUUUUCUGGACAAAUAUUUACUUUCAUUGGAUGUUGACUUACAAAAGACACUUUGAUGUUGAAAUGGGAAUUUUUUCUCUGAAAGUGUAAAGUAAUUCAAUUAUGAAAAAAAGUGUCCAUUACCUCGAAAUUAAACUUGUAUUUAUAGGGUUUAAAAGAAUAUGACCUAUUAGUUUACCUCUUAAUGAUUAUUAAUGCCAACAUUAAUCACUCAUCAAUAGUAGUUACCAUAUUGAUUACGCAUUAACUCUACUCAACUGCUGUCGUAUCCGAUCGGCUGUGAAGUUCUUUUCUGUAUCCUGGUCCAUUCAACUUAACACACAAUCAUACCCGAUCGGUCAACUCUUAUCCUAUAAUAACACAUGUAUUUCGAUGUUUAAUUCAGAAUUGAUUAACAUACUCAAAUAUUAAAUACAAUAAUUAUGUAACUAAUUAUUUUAUUUAGACUUUUUAUUUAUACAAAUUAUAAAGAGUUUUUAUUUACUGUCGGC